Molecule: transfer RNA, 77 nt
Filed under: Candidatus Collierbacteria bacterium CG10_big_fil_rev_8_21_14_0_10_43_36
Lineage: Bacteria; Candidatus Collieribacteriota
Description: tRNA-Gly
Rfam family: tRNA
About the family: Transfer RNA (tRNA) molecules are approximately 80 nucleotides in length. Their secondary structure includes four short double-helical elements and three loops (D, anti-codon, and T loops). Further hydrogen bonds mediate the characteristic L-shaped molecular structure. tRNAs have two regions of fundamental functional importance: the anti-codon, which is responsible for specific mRNA codon recognition, and the 3' end, to which the tRNAs corresponding amino acid is attached (by aminoacyl-tRNA synthetases). tRNAs cope with the degeneracy of the genetic code in two manners: having more than one tRNA (with a specific anti-codon) for a particular amino acid; and 'wobble' base-pairing, i.e. permitting non-standard base-pairing at the 3rd anti-codon position.
Source: RNAcentral
GCGGGAAUAGCUCAGUUGGCUAGAGCGCCUCCUUGCCAAGGAGGAGGUCGAGGGUUCGAAUCCCUUUUCCCGCUCCA